Molecule: ribosomal RNA, 256 nt
Filed under: uncultured bacterium
Lineage: Bacteria
Description: partial 16S ribosomal RNA
Rfam family: Bacterial small subunit ribosomal RNA
Source: RNAcentral
UACGUAGGGGGCAAGCGUUGUCCGGAUUUAUUGGGCGUAAAGAGCGUGUAGGCGGCCUGAAAGGUCAGCUGUGAAAACUCGAGGCUCAACCUCGAGACGUCGGUUGAAACCAUCUGGCUAGAGUCCGGAAGAGGAGAGUGGAAUUCCCGGUGUAGCGGUGAAAUGCGCAGAUAUCGGGAAGAACACCCCGUGGCGAAGGCGGCUCUCUGGGACGGUACUGACGCUGAGACGCGAAAAGCGUGGGGGAGCGAACAGG